CCUACGGGGGGCAGCAGUGGGGAAUAUUGCACAAUGGGGGAAACCCUGAUGCAGCAACGCCGCGUGAGUGAAGAAGUAUUUCGGUAUGUAAAGCUCUAUCAGCAGGGAAGAAAAUGACAGUACCUGAAGAAGAAGCCCCGGCUAACUACGUGCCAGCAGCCGCGGUAAUACGUAGGGGGCAAGCGUUAUCCGGAUUUACUGGGUGUAAAGGGGGCGCAGACGGCGAUGCAAGCCAGGAGUGAAAGCCCGGGGCCCAACCCUGGGACUGCUCUUGGAACUGCGUGGCUAGAGUUCAGGAGGGGCAG
This 305-nucleotide ribosomal RNA is filed under the name uncultured bacterium. Its description in RNAcentral is "bacterial SSU rRNA". It matches the Rfam family "Bacterial small subunit ribosomal RNA", at positions 338 to 660 of the family's 1533-position model. The record is from RNAcentral.